This 455-nucleotide ribosomal RNA is filed under the name uncultured organism. RNAcentral describes it as "partial 16S ribosomal RNA". It matches the Rfam family "Bacterial small subunit ribosomal RNA", at positions 330 to 801 of the family's 1533-position model. The record is from RNAcentral.
CGUACACUCCUGCGGGAGGCAGCAGUGGGGAAUAUUGGACAAUGGGCGCAAGCCUGAUCCAGCCAUGCCGCGUGAGUGAUGAAGGCCCUAGGGUUGUAAAGCUCUUUCACCGGUGAAGAUAAUGACGGUAACCGGAGAAGAAGCCCCGGCUACCUUCGUGCCAGCAGCCGCGGUAAUAAGAAGGGGGCUAGCGUUGUUCGGAUUUACUGGGCGUAAAGCGCACGUAGGCGGACUAUUAAGUCAGGGGUGAAAUCCCGGGGCUCAACCCCGGAACUGCCUUUGAUACUGGUAGUCUUGAGUUCGAGAUAGGUGAGUGGAAUUCCGAGUGUAGAGGUGAAAUUCGUAGAUAUUCGGAGGAACACCAGUGGCGAGGGCGGCUCACUGGCUCGAUACUGACGCUGAGGUGCGAAAGCGUGGGGAGCAAACAGGAUUAGAAACCCGGGUAGUCCCAUGAU